RNAcentral lists this ribosomal RNA (253 nucleotides) under uncultured bacterium. Its description in RNAcentral is "partial 16S ribosomal RNA". It matches the Rfam family "Bacterial small subunit ribosomal RNA", at positions 524 to 776 of the family's 1533-position model. The record is from RNAcentral.
UACGUAGGGACCAAGCGUUGUUCGGAUUUACUGGGCUUAAAGGGUGCGUAGGCGGCGCGGAAAGUAGGGUGUGAAAUCCCUCGGCUUAACCGAGGAACAGCGCUCUAAACUACCGUGCUCGAGGGAGAUAGAGGUGAGCGGAACUUAGGGUGGAGCGGUGAAAUGCGUUGAUAUCCUAAGGAACACCGGUGGCGAAAGCGGCUCACUGGAUCUCUUCUGACGCUGAGGCACGAAAGCUAGGGGAGCGAACGGG